CAGUAGCCGCGGGAAUACAGAGGGUGCGAGCGUUAAUCGGAUUUACUGGGCGUAAAGCGUGCGUAGGCGGCUUUUUAAGUCGGAUGUGAAAUCCCUGAGCUUAACUUAGGAAUUGCAUUCGAUACUGGGAAGCUAGAGUAUGGGAGAGGAUGGUAGAAUUCCAGGUGUAGCGGUGAAAUGCGUAGAGAUCUGGAGGAAUACCGAUGGCGAAGGCAGCCAUCUGGCCUAAUACUGACGCUGAGGUACGAAAGCAUGGGGAGCAAACAGGAUUAGAUACCCCCGUAGUCCCUGUCUCUUAUAC
Molecule: ribosomal RNA, 301 nt
Filed under: uncultured bacterium
Lineage: Bacteria
Description: partial 16S ribosomal RNA
Rfam family: Bacterial small subunit ribosomal RNA
Source: RNAcentral